UACGGAGGGUGCAAGCGUUAUCCGGAUUCACUGGGUUUAAAGGGUGCGUAGGUGGGAAUGUAAGUCAGUGGUGAAAUCUCCGUGCUUAACAUGGAAACUGCCAUUGAUACUACUGAUCUUGAAUUUUCAGGAGGUAAGCGGAAUAUGUCAUGUAGCGGUGAAAUGCUUAGAUAUGACAUAGAACACCAAAUUGCGAAGGCAGCUUACUACAGGAAUAUUGACACUGAUGCACGAAAGCGUGGGGAUCAAACAGG
Molecule: ribosomal RNA, 254 nt
Filed under: uncultured bacterium
Lineage: Bacteria
Description: partial 16S ribosomal RNA
Rfam family: Bacterial small subunit ribosomal RNA
Source: RNAcentral